UACGUAGGGUGCGAGCGUUAAUCGGAAUUACUGGGCGUAAAGCGUGCGCAGGCGGUUUUGUAAGCCAGAUGUGAAAUCCCCGGGCUUAACCUGGGAAUGGCAUUUGGGACUGCAAGGCUGGAGUUUGGCAGAGGAGACUGGAAUUCCUGGUGUAGCAGUGAAAUGCGUAGAUAUCAGGAGGAAUACCGAUGGCGAAGGCAGGUCUCUGGGCUAUAACUGACGCUCAUGCACGAAAGCGUGGGGAGCAAAAGGG
RNAcentral lists this ribosomal RNA (253 nucleotides) under uncultured bacterium. RNAcentral describes it as "partial 16S ribosomal RNA". It matches the Rfam family "Bacterial small subunit ribosomal RNA", at positions 524 to 776 of the family's 1533-position model. The record is from RNAcentral.